GAUCUGUCUGAAUCUCUAUGUGUACGUUGAAGACACCAAAUUCUGACUUUUAUUCAACAGGAGAGAAGGACACCUUUUGACUGUGUUUGCGAGCUACAUUGAAGCUCUAUUCUGCAUUACCUGAUCUAGGGGUUUUAGCAUCUUGAAUUUCCAAAAUUUAUCUAAAAGACCUGGGUUUAGGAAAAUAUUUGCAAAUGUAUACCAAGAAUAUGUAUCAUACCAGUCCGGCACUUCCAACAAUAUAAAUGUACACAGAAAAAAAAAUGAUUUAAUUAAUAGACCAUAAAAGUGUAACCAUCUAUAUAAGUGUAUUUUGUCAAAUUUUGGAUUUUAACUGACAGAUAUUAGCCAAACUGAAGAUGUCAUAUUUAAUUAGUUCACAUUUGUUUCAAAAAGGCAAAGCAAGAC
This 408-nucleotide long non-coding RNA is filed under the name Mytilus galloprovincialis (Mediterranean mussel). The record is from RNAcentral. Lineage: Eukaryota; Metazoa; Mollusca; Bivalvia; Mytilida; Mytilidae.